GCCUAGUUAGCUUAGUUGGUAGAUAGUGCGUCUGCCUUGUAAGCGCUAGGCCGCGGGUUCGAUUCCCGCCCGGGGCG
This 77-nucleotide transfer RNA is filed under the name Diaphorina citri (Asian citrus psyllid). It matches the Rfam family "tRNA". Rfam says of the family: Transfer RNA (tRNA) molecules are approximately 80 nucleotides in length. The record is from Rfam by way of RNAcentral. Lineage: Eukaryota; Metazoa; Arthropoda; Insecta; Hemiptera; Psyllidae.